RNAcentral lists this long non-coding RNA (1256 nucleotides) under Ananas comosus (pineapple). RNAcentral's name for it is "long non-coding RNA (ACOM_LNC026988)". The record is from RNAcentral. Lineage: Eukaryota; Viridiplantae; Streptophyta; Magnoliopsida; Poales; Bromeliaceae.
GAGAGUAAAGCAUUAGUCCCACUUUGACAUUUUCACAAACAAUUGGUUUGCUGCAAUUCAACUAAGGGCAGCCCGAUUGGCAUUGUUGUAGGCUAUGAAGCACGGAUACUUCAAAUUUCAUGCCGUAUCUGUAUCGGAUAUGUAUCGGAUACCGAUACGCCCCCGAUACGUGCCCGAUACGUGUCCGAUACGGGAAUGAAGUAUCCGGCAUUUUUAAAAAAUAAAAAAAUAUCGGAUACGGCUCGGAUACGUGAGGAAUGCGGGGGGGAUACGGAGAGGACACGGCCAGGUUCUUUUUUGGUCUAAAAUGAUUGAAACUUAAAUUUUUUUUAAAUGCUCACGUCCAAACCUAUUGGAAAGAAGGAAAAGAGUGAGAAAAACACCAAUAUCUGUUCAAUUUGUCAUUUCAUCUAUCUUUUUGUUCUUGAAUAGUAGAGGCGCUCUCUCUCGUUCUAUUUUCACACAGUAUUUACUCUCUUCCAUCUAAUUUGUCAACCUAGUAUUAAGCAUCAAAGGCUAUAGAAAAUAUGAUUUUUUUUUUCCUUCUCUAUUAAAUUGUUAGCAUUUUUUUAUUACUAUUUUCAUAAUAGAACUAACAAAUCAGACAUAUAUAUUGAAUGGCUAAUUAUCUAGUUUGUGCGACUAUAUAUUUAUUGUUAUCAUUUGAUCAAGUUGAAUGAUAGUUGGUUUGAUACUUUUUGAAUUAUUAUUUUAUAUGAUUUAUUAUCUUUUUUUAUGAACAUAUGUAGAAUAAUUAUACAAGUUAAUGCAUAUUGGAAUAUAUUCCUUAAUAUAGUCUAGAUAUUCUAAUUGUUCUCAAUAUAUCAUUACAUAUAAUCAACAUACAUUUUAAUAUAUUUAAAAUAAUAUUUUAUUUAAGUAUAUCCCGCGUAUCGUAUCCUAAAAGUUUUAGAAAUUGCCGUAUCACCGUAUCCGUAUCGUGUCGUAUCCGUAUCUCCGUAUCCGUAUCUGUGCAACAUAGGUUGUAGGGCUUAAUGCUAUGUAUAAAUUGCUGUGUAAGUAGUGCUUUUAGUGGAAGCACCACAGUAAAAUUUUUCCAAUAGCAUCUCUCUCUGCAACAAAAUAAGGGGUUUUGGUACCCAGAAUCUUCUUAUCUAACUAGCAGAAUAUCCACACUUUUCUAUUUGUCCAAGACAAUAGUGUUAAAUUAUACAAAACUCCCCCCCUCGUGCCUGGGCUCGAGAGAGACUUUUAUAUUAGGAGCCUAGCGUGACUCGAACUUAGAACCUCCCUUC